GAUGAACGCUGGCGGCGUGCCUAAUACAUGCAAGUCGAGCGAACAGACGAGGAGCUUGCUCCUCUGACGUUAGCGGCGGACGGGUGAGUAACACGUGGAUAACCUACCUAUAAGACUGGGAUAACUUCGGGAAACCGGAGCUAAUACCGGAUAAUAUAUUGAACCGCAUGGUUCAAUAGUGAAAGACGGUUUUGCUGUCACUUAUAGAUGGAUCCGCGCCGCAUUAGCUAGUUGGUAAGGUAACGGCUUACCAAGGCAACGAUGCGUAGCCGACCUGAGAGGGUGAUCGGCCACACUGGAACUGAGACACGGUCCAGACUCCUACGGGAGGCAGCAGUAGGGAAUCUUCCGCAAUGGGCGAAAGCCUGACGGAGCAACGCCGCGUGAGUGAUGAAGGUCUUCGGAUCGUAAAACUCUGUUAUUAGGGAAGAACAAAUGUGCAAGUAACUAUGCACGUCUUGACGGUACCUAAUCAGAAAGCCUCGGCUAACUACGUG
Molecule: ribosomal RNA, 497 nt
Filed under: uncultured bacterium
Lineage: Bacteria
Description: partial 16S ribosomal RNA
Rfam family: Bacterial small subunit ribosomal RNA
Source: RNAcentral